GACGAACGCUGGCGGCGUGCUUAACACAUGCAAGUCGAACGGAAAGGCCCUGCUUUUGUGGGGUGCUCGAGUGGCGAACGGGUGAGUAACACGUGAGUAACCUGCCCUUGACUUUGGGAUAACUUCAUGAAACUGGGUCUAUUACCGGAUAGGAGCUCCUGCUGCUUGGUGGGGGUUGGAAAGUUUCGGCGGUUGGGGAUGGACUCGCGGCUUACCAGCUUGUUGGUGGGGUAGUGGCUUACCAAGGCUUUGACGGGUAGCCGGCCUGGGAGGGUGACCGGCCACAUUGGGACUGAGAUACGGCCCAGACUACUACGGGAGGCAGCAGUGGGGAAGAUUGCACAAUGGGCGGAAGCCUGAUGCAGCAACGCAGCGUGCGGGAUGACGGCCUUCGGGUUGUAAACCGCUUUCGCCUGUGACGAAGCGUGAGUGACGGUAAUGGGUAAAGAAGCACCGGCUAACUACGUG
RNAcentral lists this ribosomal RNA (468 nucleotides) under uncultured bacterium. Its description in RNAcentral is "partial 16S ribosomal RNA". It matches the Rfam family "Bacterial small subunit ribosomal RNA", at positions 28 to 507 of the family's 1533-position model. The record is from RNAcentral.